RNAcentral lists this ribosomal RNA (1868 nucleotides) under freshwater metagenome. RNAcentral's name for it is "bacterial LSU rRNA". It matches the Rfam family "Bacterial large subunit ribosomal RNA", at positions 354 to 2251 of the family's 2925-position model. The record is from RNAcentral.
AAGACGGCAUACGAGAUGCGCAUUAGUGACUGGAGUUCAGACGUGUGCUCUUCCGAUCUUAAUACCGGAGCACGUGGAACCCCGUGUGAAUCUGCCGAGACCACUCGGUAAGGCUAAAUACGACUUGUCACCGAUAGUGCAUCCAGUACCGUGAGGGAAAGGUGAAAAGAACCCCGGUUAGGGGAGUGAAAUAGAACCUGAAAUCGCACAACCUACAAACAGUCAAAGCACUAUGAUCGGAGCAAUCCGGUACUGUGUGAUGGCGUGCCUUUUGCAGAAUGAGCCUGCGAGUUGUUGGUAUUGGCAAGCUUAAGUGGUUCAGCCACGUAGGCGGAGGGAAACCGAGUCCGAAUAGGGCGUCAAGUCAGUACCAGCAGACCCGAAACUGCGUGAUCUAGCCAUGGCCAGGGUGAAGUGGUGGUAACACACCAUGGAGGCCCGAACUCAUUGACGUUGAAAAGUCUCGGGAUGAGCUGUGGUUAGUCCGGUGAAAUGCCAAUCGAACGCAGAGAUAGCUGGUUCUCCCCGAAAUGCAUUUGGGUGCAGCGUUAGGCGAUGUUCGUUGGGGGUAGAGCACUGAAUGGGCUAGGGGGCUUACCGGCUUACCGAACCCAACCAAACUCCGAAUACCAUCGAAUUAGCCUGGCAGUGAGACGGCGAGUGAUAAGAUCCGUCGUCAAAAGGGAAACAACCCAGACCGACAGCUAAGGGCCCUAAACGUGGACUAAGUGUGAAACGAUGUGAGAUCGCGUAAACAGCCAGGAGGUUGGCUUGGAAGCAGCCACCCUUUAAAAAGUGCGUAACAGCUUACUGGCCGAAUGUGAUCUUGCGCGGAUAAUGUAAGGGGGCUAAAGUCCACUCCCGAAGCUCCGGAAGCGCUUAGGCGCUUGGUAGGGGAGCGUCGUGUUCAGCGGUGAAGCUUGAGCGGAAGCACAGGUGGAGCGGACACGAGUGAGAAUGCAGGCAUGAGUAGCGAUAACAAAGGUGAGAAUCCUUUGCGCCGAAAACCCAAGGUUUCUCCGGCUAUGUUCGUCAGACGGAGGUUAGGCGGUCCCUAAGGUGAGGCCAGAAGGCGUAGCCGAUGGACAUCCGGUCGAAAUUCCGGACCCAGUGCAGUGGCAAUGGGAGGACGCUUCUUGAUUUUCCAUCCCGCACCGUUGGUAGUGGCGGGCUAGGAGGAGGCUGGUCCACUUGAGAGAGUGGAGGAAAGGCCGAAUCCGGGGAAUGAAUCCCUUCGGGGUGACAAAACUGGAAAUGAGGGGGGCCGAGAAAAGCCCCACAGCAAUACACUGUAUCUGACCGUACUGUAAACCGACACAGGUGGGUGAGUCGAGGAGACUAAGGCGUUCGAGAGAACUCUCGUUAAGGAACUAGGCAAAUUGACCCCGUAACUUCGGGAAAAGGGGUACCUCGCAAGAGGUCGCAGCAAAGCAGCCCAGGCGACUGUUUACCAAAAACACAGGUCUCUGCUAAGGCGAAAGCCGAGGUAUAGGGGCUGACGCCUGCCCAAUGCCAGUAGGUUAAUAGGAGAUGUCAGCGCAAGCGAAGCAUUGAAUUGAAGCCCUGGUGAAUGGCGGCCGUAACUCUAACGGUCCUAAGGUAGCGAAAUUCCUUGUCGGCUAAAUACCGACCCGCAUGAAAGGCGUAACGACUUGGGCACUGUCUCAACGAGAAGCUCGGUGAAAUUGUAGCACCCGUGAAGAUGCGGGUUAUGCGCAGUAGGACGGAAAGACCCCGUGGAGCUUUACUACACCCUGUCAUUGUGAAUUGGAUGUAGAUGUAGAGCGUAGGUGGGAGCUUCGGCACCAAUGGAACACCACCCUUCUGCAUCUGGUUCACUAACCCUCGCCCGGUAUCGUGACUGGGAA